GUCCGCGUAGCUCAAUUGGAUAGAGCGUCGGCCUCCGAAGCCGAAGGUUUUGGGUUCAAGUCCCGACGCGGACG
Molecule: transfer RNA, 74 nt
Filed under: Phycisphaerales bacterium
Lineage: Bacteria; Pseudomonadati; Planctomycetota; Phycisphaerae; Phycisphaerales
Description: tRNA-Arg
Rfam family: tRNA
About the family: Transfer RNA (tRNA) molecules are approximately 80 nucleotides in length. Their secondary structure includes four short double-helical elements and three loops (D, anti-codon, and T loops).
Source: RNAcentral